UACGUAGGGGGCAAGCGUUGUCCGGAAUUAUUGGGCGUAAAGAGCGUGUAGGCGGCCAGAUAAGUCCGCUGUGAAAUCUCGAGGCUCAACUUCGAGCUGUCGGUGGAAACUGUCUGGCUAGAGUCCGGAAGAGGAGAAUGGAAUUCCUGGUGUAGCGGUGAAAUGCGCAGAUAUCAGGAGGAACACCGGUGGCGAAGGCGGAUCUCUGGGCCUUACCUGACGCUCAGGUGCGAAAGCUAGGGGAGCGAACAGG
Molecule: ribosomal RNA, 253 nt
Filed under: uncultured bacterium
Lineage: Bacteria
Description: partial 16S ribosomal RNA
Rfam family: Bacterial small subunit ribosomal RNA
Source: RNAcentral